RNAcentral lists this unclassified non-coding RNA (334 nucleotides) under soil metagenome. RNAcentral describes it as "partial contains 5.8S ribosomal RNA, internal transcribed spacer 2, and large subunit ribosomal RNA". The stretch from base 1 to 120 matches the Rfam family "5.8S ribosomal RNA", at positions 35 to 154 of the family's 154-position model. The record is from RNAcentral.
GAUGAAGAACGUAGUGAAAUGCGAUACGUAAUGUGAAUUGCAGAAUUCAGUGAAUCAUCGAAUCUUUGAACGCACAUUGCGCCUGCCAGCACUCUGGCAGGCAUGCCUGUUCGAGCGUCAUUUCAACCAUCAAGCCCUAGGCUUGCGUUGGGGCCCUGCGGCUGCCGCAGGCCCCUAAAAGCAGUGGCGGGCUCGCUAUCACACCGAGUGCAGUAGAUUACUCUUCGCUCAGGGCGUGUGGCGGGUUCCAGCCGUGAAACCCCCUACUUCUCAAGGUUGACCUCGGAUCAGGUAGGAAUACCCGCUGAACUUAAGCAUAUCAAUAAGCGGAGGA